This 135-nucleotide transfer RNA is filed under the name Promethearchaeota archaeon. RNAcentral's name for it is "Candidatus Lokiarchaeota archaeon (permafrost metagenome) tRNA-OTHER". It matches the Rfam family "tRNA". From Rfam's summary of the family: Transfer RNA (tRNA) molecules are approximately 80 nucleotides in length. Lineage: Archaea; Promethearchaeati; Promethearchaeota. The record is from RNAcentral.
GCCAAGGUGGCGUAGCCCGGAACAUGCUGGAGACUUCCAGCAGUGGGUAAGAACGCACUAGAUUUAUCGGAAUGCUCGAUAUUGGUGAAACUGAAGAUCUAGGUAUCGAGGGUUCAAAUCCCUCUCUUGGCACCA